RNAcentral lists this ribosomal RNA (431 nucleotides) under uncultured bacterium. RNAcentral's name for it is "partial 16S ribosomal RNA". It matches the Rfam family "Bacterial small subunit ribosomal RNA", at positions 338 to 795 of the family's 1533-position model. The record is from RNAcentral.
CCUACGGGGGGCUGCAGUGGGGAAUCUUGCGCAAUGGGCGAAAGCCUGACGCAGCAACGCCGCGUGUGUGAUGAAGGUCUUCGGAUCGUAGCCGUCAGUAAUAAAUAGUGCGGUACCUCGAGAGGAAGCACCGGCUAACUCUGUGCCAGCAGCCGCGGUAAUACAGAGGGUGCGAGCGUUGUUCGGAAUUAUUGGGCGUAAAGCGCUUGUAGGCGGCUUAUCAAGUCGCGUGUGAAAUCCCCAGGCUUAACCUGGGAAGUGCGCGCGAAACUGAAGAGCUUGAAUGCCGGAGAGGGUCGCGGAAUUCCCGGUGUAGAGGUGAAAUUCGUAGAUAUCGGGAGGAACACCAGUGGCGAAGGCGGCGACCUGGACGGAAUGACGCUGAGACGCGAAAGCGUGGGGAGCAAACAGGAUUAGAUACCCUGGUAGUC